This 406-nucleotide ribosomal RNA is filed under the name uncultured bacterium. RNAcentral describes it as "partial 16S ribosomal RNA". It matches the Rfam family "Bacterial small subunit ribosomal RNA", at positions 30 to 526 of the family's 1533-position model. The record is from RNAcentral.
AUUGAACGCUGGCGGCAGGCCUAACACAUGCAAGUCGAACGAGUGGCGGAAGGGUGAGUAAUGUCUGGGAAACUGCCUGAUGGAGGGGGAUAACUACUGGAAACGGUAGCUAAUACCGCAUACCAUCGGAUGUGCCCAGAUGGGAUUAGCUAGUAGGUGGGGUAAAGGCUCAACUAGGCGACGAUCCCUAGCUGGUCUGCGAGGAUUAACAGACACACUGGCAAUUGGACACGUGCCAGACCCCUCCGGGAGGGAGCAGUUGGGAAUAUUGCACAAUGGGCGCAAACCUGAUGCAGCCAUGCAGGGGGUAUGAAGAAAGUCUUCGGGUUGUAAAGCACUUUCAGCGGGGAGGCGUUACCCGCAGAAGAAGCACCGGCUAACUCCGUGCCAGCAGCCGCGGUAAUAC